GAGAGAACAAGGGCAACUCUACCCAUGACCCAGUUAGUAGGUGUUCUUAUUUAAGAGUUAUAACAAAGUACUACAAUUUUUUCCUUUACUUAAAAAGAUUAAAAUCGCAUAGCCUUGUUAUAAAGAAAGCAAAUCUGGAGAACUGCAGGAAGCAGCAUCUUAGCUUUGUCCUCGGAACCUCCCCCUCCUGUUUCUCAGAGGACACCAACGGUAACGCUGUGUUUACAUUCUCUGAACUGGAACUGUUGAUGAAGAUUCCAGAAACCUUGUCAAAACUGCACUUAGGACAAUGUCAGCAGUCCAGAAUGUUUCUCCAUGCAAGCUGCAGAAAGCCUCAGGAAAGAAAAACAACUCAUCUGAGCUUUCUUUAUUUAAACAUCAACAACAGAAAGAGGGCAUCUGGGCAAGUCUGUAAAGGCACUGAAAUCAAAUACGAAGACAGAAUUAAAAAUGGAGACCGCUGAGAACCAGUGGACAAACGCAGUUCUAAACUGACUCAAGAGUUGUGAUAAAAACAGCCAUGAAUGGCCCACAAGUAGGUCAAAAAGAAGAUAGUUUUAAUUCGUACUUUAAAGUAUAUGGAACAAACUACACUUUGGCCAAAAAAAAAGGGGGUCCACACCAGCAAGAACCCUGGCAGACAAAGGGCAAACCUCAACCAAUAAGAAAGCAGGAUGAUGUCUACUAAGAAGAAACAUGUUUAGAGUUGAAGUUUAGAGUAAUCUUAACACCAAUAAAUGGCUAUUUCUAGU
RNAcentral lists this long non-coding RNA (752 nucleotides) under Capra hircus (goat). RNAcentral describes it as "lncRNA (ENSCHIG00000004012.1)". The record is from RNAcentral. Lineage: Eukaryota; Metazoa; Chordata; Mammalia; Artiodactyla; Bovidae.